This 400-nucleotide unclassified non-coding RNA is filed under the name soil metagenome. RNAcentral describes it as "partial contains 5.8S ribosomal RNA, internal transcribed spacer 2, and large subunit ribosomal RNA". The stretch from base 1 to 122 matches the Rfam family "5.8S ribosomal RNA", at positions 35 to 154 of the family's 154-position model. The record is from RNAcentral.
GAUGAAGAACGUAGCGAAAUGCGAUACUUGGUGUGAAUUGCAGAAUCCCAUGAACCAUCGAGUCUUUGAACGCAAGUUGCGCCUCAAGCCAUUAGGUUGAGGGCACGUCUGCCUGGGCGUCACAUAUCGUUGCCUGAUGCCAGUUUCCUCGUGAUGGGUGACUGUGCAGGGCGAAUGAUGGCUUCCCGUGAGCAUUGUUGCCUCAUGGUUGGUUGAAAAUUGAGUCCUUGGUAGGGAGCGCCGUGAUAGAUGGUGGUUGAGUGACGAACGAGACCCAAUCAUGUGAGACCCCUACCGAAUUUGGCCUUCAUGACCCACAUGCGUCUUUGGAACACUCAUGACGAGACCUCAGGUCAGGCGGGGCUACCCGCUGAGUUUAAGCAUAUCAAUAAGCGGAGGA